Auriculariales sp. MPI-PUGE-AT-0066 is the source of this 83-nucleotide non-coding RNA. NCBI's taxonomy places the organism in Eukaryota, Fungi, Basidiomycota, Agaricomycetes, Auriculariales. The record is from the annotation of a GenBank genome assembly.
GGUAGAGUGACCGAGUGGUUAAAGGUGUCAGACUUAAGUUCUGGUGCAGUAAUGCUUCGUGGGUUCGAAUCCCACCUCUAUCA